AACGAACGCUGGCGGCGUGCCUAACACAUGCAAGUCGAGCGAGAAAGCCCGCAAGGGUGAGUAAAGCGGCGCACGGGUGCGUAACACGUGGGUAAUCUGCCCUGGAGUCCGGAAUAACUCGCCGAAAGGCGUGCUAAUGCCGGAUAAGACCACGGGAGCUUCGGCUCUCGCGGGAAAAGGUGGCCUCUGUACACAAGCUAUCACUCCAGGAUGAGCCCGCGGCCCAUCAGCUAGUUGGCGGGGUAACGGCCCACCAAGGCUACGACGGGUAGCUGGUCUGAGAGGACGAUCAGCCACACUGGAACUGAGACACGGUCCAGACUCCUACGGGUGGCUG
This 337-nucleotide ribosomal RNA is filed under the name uncultured Pseudomonadota bacterium. Its description in RNAcentral is "bacterial SSU rRNA". It matches the Rfam family "Bacterial small subunit ribosomal RNA", at positions 29 to 351 of the family's 1533-position model. The record is from RNAcentral. Lineage: Bacteria; Pseudomonadati; Pseudomonadota.